CAGUCGCCACGGUAAUACGUAGGGUGCAAGCGUUAAUCGGAAUUACUGGGCGUAAAGCGUGCGCAGGCGGCUUUGCAAGACAGAUGUGAAAUCCCCGGGCUCAACCUGGGAACUGCAUUUGUGACUGCAUGGCUAGAGUACGGUAGAGGGGGAUGGAAUUCCGCGUGUAGCAGUGAAAUGCGUAGAUAUGCGGAGGAACACCGAUGGCGAAGGCAAUCCCCUGGACCUGUACUGACGCUCGUGCACGGAAGCGUGGGGAGCAAACAGGAUUAGAGACCCCUGUAGUCCCUGUCUCUUAUAC
Molecule: ribosomal RNA, 301 nt
Filed under: uncultured bacterium
Lineage: Bacteria
Description: partial 16S ribosomal RNA
Rfam family: Bacterial small subunit ribosomal RNA
Source: RNAcentral